RNAcentral lists this ribosomal RNA (2922 nucleotides) under Klebsiella pneumoniae. RNAcentral describes it as "23S ribosomal RNA". It matches the Rfam family "Bacterial large subunit ribosomal RNA". The record is from RNAcentral. Lineage: Bacteria; Pseudomonadati; Pseudomonadota; Gammaproteobacteria; Enterobacterales; Enterobacteriaceae.
GGGUUGUGAGGUUAAGCGACUAAGCGUACACGGUGGAUGCCCUGGCAGUCAGAGGCGAUGAAGGACGUGCUAAUCUGCGAAAAGCGUCGGUAAGGUGAUAUGAACCGUUAUAACCGGCGAUGUCCGAAUGGGGAAACCCAGUGCAAUUCGUUGCACUAUCGUUAACUGAAUACAUAGGUUAACGAGGCGAACCGGGGGAACUGAAACAUCUAAGUACCCCGAGGAAAAGAAAUCAACCGAGAUUCCCCCAGUAGCGGCGAGCGAACGGGGAGCAGCCCAGAGUCUGAAUCAGCUUGUGUGUUAGUGGAACGGUCUGGAAAGUCCGACGGUACAGGGUGAUAGUCCCGUACACCAAAAUGCACAGGCUGUGAACUCGAAGAGUAGGGCGGGACACGUGGUAUCCUGUCUGAAUAUGGGGGGACCAUCCUCCAAGGCUAAAUACUCCUGACUGACCGAUAGUGAACCAGUACCGUGAGGGAAAGGCGAAAAGAACCCCGGCGAGGGGAGUGAAAAAGAACCUGAAACCGUGUACGUACAAGCAGUGGGAGCACCUUCGGGUGUGACUGCGUACCUUUUGUAUAAUGGGUCAGCGACUUAUAUUCUGUAGCAAGGUUAACCGUAUAGGGGAGCCGCAGGGAAACCGAGUCUUAACUGGGCGUUAAGUUGCAGGGUAUAGACCCGAAACCCGGUGAUCUAGCCAUGGGCAGGUUGAAGGUUGGGUAACACUAACUGGAGGACCGAACCGACUAAUGUUGAAAAAUUAGCGGAUGACUUGUGGCUGGGGGUGAAAGGCCAAUCAAACCGGGAGAUAGCUGGUUCUCCCCGAAAGCUAUUUAGGUAGCGCCUCGUGAAUUCAUCUUCGGGGGUAGAGCACUGUUUCGGCUAGGGGGUCAUCCCGACUUACCAACCCGAUGCAAACUACGAAUACCGAAGAAUGUUAUCACGGGAGACACACGGCGGGUGCUAACGUCCGUCGUGAAGAGGGAAACAACCCAGACCGCCAGCUAAGGUCCCAAAGUCAUGGUUAAGUGGGAAACGAUGUGGGAAGGCACAGACAGCCAGGAUGUUGGCUUAGAAGCAGCCAUCAUUUAAAGAAAGCGUAAUAGCUCACUGGUCGAGUCGGCCUGCGCGGAAGAUGUAACGGGGCUAAACCAUGCACCGAAGCUGCGGCAGCGACACUAUGUGUUGUUGGGUAGGGGAGCGUUCUGUAAGCCUGCGAAGGUGACCUGUGAGGGUUGCUGGAGGUAUCAGAAGUGCGAAUGCUGACAUAAGUAACGAUAAAGCGGGUGAAAAGCCCGCUCGCCGGAAGACCAAGGGUUCCUGUCCAACGUUAAUCGGGGCAGGGUGAGUCGACCCCUAAGGCGAGGCCGAAAGGCGUAGUCGAUGGGAAACAGGUUAAUAUUCCUGUACUUGGUGUUACUGCGAAGGGGGGACGGAGAAGGCUAUGUUAGCCGGGCGACGGUUGUCCCGGUUUAAGCAUGUAGGCUGAUUGUCCAGGCAAAUCCGGAUAAUCAAGGCUGAGGUGUGAUGACGAGGCACUACGGUGCUGAAGUAACAAAUGCCCUGCUUCCAGGAAAAGCCUCUAAGCAUCAGGUAACAUCAAAUCGUACCCCAAACCGACACAGGUGGUCAGGUAGAGAAUACCAAGGCGCUUGAGAGAACUCGGGUGAAGGAACUAGGCAAAAUGGUGCCGUAACUUCGGGAGAAGGCACGCUGGUGUGUAGGUGAAGCCCCUGCGGGUGGAGCUGAGACCAGUCGAAGAUACCAGCUGGCUGCAACUGUUUAUUAAAAACACAGCACUGUGCAAACACGAAAGUGGACGUAUACGGUGUGACGCCUGCCCGGUGCCGGAAGGUUAAUUGAUGGGGUUAUCCGUAAGGAGAAGCUCUUGAUCGAAGCCCCGGUAAACGGCGGCCGUAACUAUAACGGUCCUAAGGUAGCGAAAUUCCUUGUCGGGUAAGUUCCGACCUGCACGAAUGGCGUAAUGAUGGCAGGCUGUCUCCACCCGAGACUCAGUGAAAUUGAACUCGCUGUGAAGAUGCAGUGUACCCGCGGCAAGACGGAAAGACCCCGUGAACCUUUACUAUAGCUUGACACUGAACAUUGAGCCUUGAUGUGUAGGAUAGGUGGGAGGCUUUGAAGCGUGGACGCCAGUCUGCGUGGAGCCAACCUUGAAAUACCACCCUUUAAUGUUUGAUGUUCUAACGUUGGCCCCUUACCGGGGUUGCGGACAGUGUCUGGUGGGUAGUUUGACUGGGGCGGUCUCCUCCCAAAGCGUAACGGAGGAGCACGAAGGUUAGCUAAUCCUGGUCGGACAUCAGGAGGUUAGUGCAAUGGCAUAAGCUAGCUUGACUGCGAGCGUGACGGCGCGAGCAGGUGCGAAAGCAGGUCAUAGUGAUCCGGUGGUUCUGAAUGGAAGGGCCAUCGCUCAACGGAUAAAAGGUACUCCGGGGAUAACAGGCUGAUACCGCCCAAGAGUUCAUAUCGACGGCGGUGUUUGGCACCUCGAUGUCGGCUCAUCACAUCCUGGGGCUGAAGUAGGUCCCAAGGGUAUGGCUGUUCGCCAUUUAAAGUGGUACGCGAGCUGGGUUUAGAACGUCGUGAGACAGUUCGGUCCCUAUCUGCCGUGGGCGCUGGAGAAUUGAGGGGGGCUGCUCCUAGUACGAGAGGACCGGAGUGGACGCAUCACUGGUGUUCGGGUUGUCAUGCCAAUGGCACUGCCCGGUAGCUAAAUGCGGAAGAGAUAAGUGCUGAAAGCAUCUAAGCACGAAACUUGCCCCGAGAUGAGUUCUCCCUGAGACUUUAAGUCUCCUGAAGGAACGUUGAAGACGACGACGUUGAUAGGCCGGGUGUGUAAGCGCAGCGAUGCGUUGAGCUAACCGGUACUAAUGAACCGUGAGGCUUAACCUUACAACGCCGAAG